Molecule: transfer RNA, 77 nt
Filed under: Bacillota bacterium
Lineage: Bacteria; Bacillati; Bacillota
Also listed under: 3 other names
Description: tRNA-Pro
Rfam family: tRNA
About the family: Transfer RNA (tRNA) molecules are approximately 80 nucleotides in length. Their secondary structure includes four short double-helical elements and three loops (D, anti-codon, and T loops). Further hydrogen bonds mediate the characteristic L-shaped molecular structure. tRNAs have two regions of fundamental functional importance: the anti-codon, which is responsible for specific mRNA codon recognition, and the 3' end, to which the tRNAs corresponding amino acid is attached (by aminoacyl-tRNA synthetases). tRNAs cope with the degeneracy of the genetic code in two manners: having more than one tRNA (with a specific anti-codon) for a particular amino acid; and 'wobble' base-pairing, i.e. permitting non-standard base-pairing at the 3rd anti-codon position.
Source: RNAcentral
CGGGGCGUGGCGCAGUUUGGUAGCGUGCUUGACUGGGGGUCAAGAGGCCGCAGGUUCAAGUCCUGUCGCUCCGACCA